RNAcentral lists this ribosomal RNA (497 nucleotides) under uncultured bacterium. RNAcentral's name for it is "partial 16S ribosomal RNA". It matches the Rfam family "Bacterial small subunit ribosomal RNA", at positions 28 to 507 of the family's 1533-position model. The record is from RNAcentral.
GACGAACGCUGGCGGCGUGCCUAAUACAUGCAAGUAGAACGCUGAAGCUUGGUGCUUGCACCGAGCGGAUGAGUUGCGAACGGGUGAGUAACGCGUAGGUAACCUGCCUGGUAGCGGGGGAUAACUAUUGGAAACGAUAGCUAACACCGCAUAAGAGUAGAUGUUGCAUGACAUUUGCUUAAAAGGUGCAAUUGCAUCACUACCAGAUGGACCUGCGUUGUAUUAGCUAGUUGGUGAGGUAACGGCUCACCAAGGCAACGAUACAUAGCCGACCUGAGAGGGUGAUCGGCCACACUGGGACUGAGACACGGCCCAGACUCCUACGGGAGGCAGCAGUAGGGAAUCUUCGGCAAUGGACGGAAGUCUGACCGAGCAACGCCGCGUGAGUGAAGAAGGGUUUCGGAUCGUAAAGCUCUGUUGUAAGAGAAGAACGAGUGUGAGAGUGGAAAGUUCACACUGUGACGGUAUCUUACCAGAAAGGGACGGCUAACUACGUG